Molecule: transfer RNA, 65 nt
Filed under: Dipodomys ordii (Ord's kangaroo rat)
Lineage: Eukaryota; Metazoa; Chordata; Mammalia; Rodentia; Heteromyidae
Rfam family: tRNA
About the family: Transfer RNA (tRNA) molecules are approximately 80 nucleotides in length.
Source: Rfam by way of RNAcentral
GGUGGCUCAGUGGUAGAGUGCUUGCCUUGCAUGCAUGAGGACCUGGGUUCGAUUCCUGAGCACCA